UCACAUGUCUCCUUUCCACUAAUUCCAUAAAUAAUAGCCAAGCUGGCUCCUCAUUCAUUCUUACAGUCACCAAACUCUAAAAAGUAGACAGCAAAUCAUCCUAGUGGUGUUUUUAACAAAGCUUUCUAGAAUCAUACACAAACCACUAAAACAAAUUUAGGAAACACUGUAGCAAACUGAUGACUACAUUCUCCUUGGGAUCUUGAAUGCCAAACGCAGAAAACUUUGGCCAUUCUAGCAAAAGAGUCCAGUGUGCACCAAUAAAACCCAACAGAGAUGAAAUCUUUCACUUUAUAUUCCGACUACUUUGGGCCAACUUGUUAAAUCACCAACACCUCAUAACAAAAUUGUCCACUGAGCAACUGACUGCUGUUAUGGCUGAAAAUAAGUGGCUAGGGCUCGGUGACCUUCCAAGCCUCCACAUUUUUAUGUUAUUUAUACAGAUAUUUACUUCGACAGCAUUUACUAGGCUUACAAGUUUUCUCUGGGAAGUUCUCCCACCACCACUUAACAUUUUGUUUGGUCAGUAGCAUAAGUGUGCAUUAUAGUCUAUAUAUAAAGUAUGUCCCAAAUAACUUGCAAA
This 583-nucleotide long non-coding RNA is filed under the name Homo sapiens (human). Its description in RNAcentral is "non-protein coding lnc-GABPA-19:2". The record is from RNAcentral. Lineage: Eukaryota; Metazoa; Chordata; Mammalia; Primates; Hominidae.